AGGCAGAGCCCAUAUCAGGAUGCUUUGGCACCAGGACAUUGUCAGGUUUGAAGGAGACUCCAGGAACUGCUGCAGCCAUCUGCCAGCCUAACAAGGAAACCAACUCAAAGCAGAGAGCAGUGGCCAAGGAAUUUCAGGAAAGCAGAGCCAGGAUAUGUUGUGGAUGGACCCUAAUCUACCCCUGAACUUCUCAUUACGUGAGGUACCCAAGGAGAGCGUCCUUUGUGCCAGGUACUGUGCCAACCAUCCUUGAAGGUUAACUCCUGAUCAUCCCAUGUGCUAAUGACACCCAACUCUCUGAAGUCCAGACCCCUCUCCCUUCAGAUUCACACUUGGACAUUCACAAGGUCCUGAAAUGAACCUGGGCCUCUUAUAGAACAAGGGCGGAAACCUACCUCCAGUUCCAUCUUUACGUGAGCACCCACCCUCGACAAUUUAUGGGAUUAUGCUGAAAAAUCAAUCUUUUACAAUUUCACCUAACAUCUGCCAGAGGAAACAAAAGAUUAUUAAAAGGGGACUUAUCAAAGUUCAUCUUCCAACAAAGUGGUUAGUUACCAUUUAAUUUAGCUAACAUUUUUUUGGGAACACUUACUGCAGUGCAGACACUGGUCUAAGUAAGCUUUUUAUAUGCAUCCUAUCAUUUAAUCUUCACAAAAUUCCUGUGAGGUAGGUACUGUUAUUAUCCCCAUCUUACACUUAAAAAUCUCGAGGCUUAGAUGGAUUAACUCCAGGGUCACACGGCUAGCAAGUGGCAGGGCUCUGGUUAAAACCCACGUCUGUCUAACGUUCAAGAUUUUGCUUUCGGCAUUCCUUUGAAAAAGA
Molecule: long non-coding RNA, 822 nt
Organism: Eubalaena glacialis (North Atlantic right whale)
Lineage: Eukaryota; Metazoa; Chordata; Mammalia; Artiodactyla; Balaenidae
Exons: 4
Source: RefSeq, a predicted model, not a curated record